This 773-nucleotide ribosomal RNA is filed under the name uncultured Neocallimastigales. Its description in RNAcentral is "partial large subunit ribosomal RNA". It matches the Rfam family "Eukaryotic large subunit ribosomal RNA", at positions 23 to 643 of the family's 3401-position model. The record is from RNAcentral. Lineage: Eukaryota; Fungi; Neocallimastigomycota; Neocallimastigomycetes; Neocallimastigales.
ACACGCAUGACACACUGCAUAUCAAUAAGCGGAGGAAAAGAAACUAACAAGGAUUCCCUUAGUAACGGCGAGUGAAGCGGGAAGAGCUCAAAUUUGAAAUCUUCAAGGUUUUACCCUGACGAAUUGUAGUUUAAAGAAGUGUUUUCUGUUGGAGUUUUGGUAAAAGUUCUUUGGAAUAGGACAUCAUAGAGGGUGAGAAUCCCGUAUUUGACCAUUAUUUCCAGCUGUGUGAUACACUUUCAAAGAGUCGGAUUGUUUGGGAAUGCAGUCCAAAAUGGGUGGUAAAUUUCAUCUAAAGCUAAAUACUGGCGAGAGACCGAUAGCGAACAGGUACCGUGAGGGAAAGAUGAAAAGAACUUUGAAAAGAGAGUUAAACAGUACGUGAAAUUGUCAAAAGGGAAGCGUUUGACACCAGUGUUGUUUUCUCGAAAAUCAAUUACGAAUGUUUUGUUUUUAAGAAGUUAUGACUUCAUCGGCUUGCUUCUUUCUUUACGAAACUUUCUUAAUGCACUUUUCGGUUAACAAGUCAACAUCAAUUUCUUUUGUUGUAAAAGGGUAUGAGGAAGGUGGCUUUCUUUUCGGAGAAAGUGUUUAUAGCCUUGUACCUCUGCAAUCGGAGAGAUUGAGGUCUGCAGCGUAGAUCCUUCGGGGUUAGAUACAUUUGUGCUAAGUUAUAGCUUUUCAUAGACAACUUGUUGACUAUGUUAAGUCUUGUAGCUUACUCGCUUAUGCUAUUUUACCUACGCUUAGGAUGUUGACUGAUAUGUAGUCGU